RNAcentral lists this long non-coding RNA (231 nucleotides) under Gossypium raimondii (Peruvian cotton). RNAcentral describes it as "long non-coding RNA (GRAI_LNC003996)". Lineage: Eukaryota; Viridiplantae; Streptophyta; Magnoliopsida; Malvales; Malvaceae. The record is from RNAcentral.
CGCCCUACAAAGCAACAGUCAAGAUCCUGAUUAAUAUCUUCACCAUCAUAUCAGUUUGUCAAGCCUUAUCCUCUCCUUCUUUGAUCAACAAUCAUGCAAGAGCAACCUCUAUCAUGAAGACAACAAGAUCCCAAAAAGAGAAAAACCCAACAAAAUGACAAAAAGAAGAGAAAAUGGAAAAAAGUGUGCCACAAAAAUAGAUAAAAAAAUGUACCACAAGAGAAAACGGAG